AGCUAAUAGAUACCCAGGUAGUCCACGCCCUAAACGAUGUCUACUAGUUGUUGGUGGAGUAAAAUCCAUGAGUAAACGCAGCUAACGCGUGAAGUAGACCGCCUGGGGAGUACGGUCGCAAGAUUAAAACUCAAAGGAAUUGACGGGGGCCCGGCACAAGCGGUGGAUUAUGUGGAUUAAUUCGAUGCAACGCGAAAACCUUAACCUGGCCUUGACAUGCCACUAACGAAGCAGAGAUGCAUUAGGUGCCCGUAACGGGAAAGUGGACACAGGUGCUGCACGGCUGUCGUCAGCUCGUGUCGUGAGAUGUUGGGUUAAGUCCCGCAACGAGCGCAACCCUUGCCAUUAAUUGCCAUCAUUUAGUUGGGCACUUUAAUGGGACUGCCGGUGACAAACCGGAGGAAGGUGGGGAUGACGUCAAGUCCUCAUGGCCCUUAUGGCCAGGGCUUCACACGUAAUACAAUGGUCGGUACAGAGAGUUGCCAACCCGCGAGGGGGUAGCUAAUCUCAGAAAGCCGAUCGUAGUCCGGACUGUUCUCUGC
This 542-nucleotide ribosomal RNA is filed under the name uncultured bacterium. RNAcentral describes it as "bacterial SSU rRNA". It matches the Rfam family "Bacterial small subunit ribosomal RNA", at positions 767 to 1308 of the family's 1533-position model. The record is from RNAcentral.